CGCCUCUUGCAAAACUUAAGAAUAAGAGGUCCCGCCUGCCCUGUGACUAUAUGUUUAACGGCCGCGGUAUCCUGACCGUGCGAAGGUAGCGUAAUCACUUGUCUUUUAAAUGGAGACCUGUAUGAAUGGCAUAACGAGGGCUUAACUGUCUCCUUUUUCCAGUCAAUGAAAUUGAUCUCUCCGUGCAGAAGCGGGGAUAAAACCAUAAGACGAGAAGACCCUAUGGAGCUUUAGACACUAAGGUAGAUCGUGUUAAGCACCCCCUGACAAAGGGCCAAACCCUAUGAAUCCUACCCUAAUGUCUUUGGUUGGGGCGACCGCAGGGAAAUAAAAAACCCCCGCGUGGAACGGGAGUACUCUCCUCCUACUACCAAGAGCUACCGCUCUAAUAAACAGAAUCUCUGACCCAUUAGAUCCGGCAACGCCGAUUAACGAACCAAGUUACCCUAGGGAUAACAGCGCAAUCCUCUUUUAGAGCCCAUAUCGACAAGAGGGUUUACGACCUCGAUGUUGGAUCAGGACAUCCUAAUGGUGCAGCCGCUAUUAAGGGUUCGUUUGUUCAACGAUUAAAGUCCUACGUGAUCUG
RNAcentral lists this ribosomal RNA (586 nucleotides) under Kuhlia petiti. Its description in RNAcentral is "partial 16S ribosomal RNA". It matches the Rfam family "Bacterial large subunit ribosomal RNA", at positions 1817 to 2607 of the family's 2925-position model. The record is from RNAcentral. Lineage: Eukaryota; Metazoa; Chordata; Actinopteri; Centrarchiformes; Kuhliidae.